CGCGCAGGCGGUCGACCAAGUCGCGUGUGAAAGCCCCCGGCUCAACUGGGGAGGGUCACGCGAUACUGAUCGACUCGAAGGCAGGAGAGGGUAGUGGAAUUCCCGGUGUAGUGGUGAAAUGCGUAGAUAUCGGGAGGAACACCAGUGGCGAAGGCGACUACCUGGCCUGUUCUUGACGCUGAGGCGCGAAAGCUAGGGGAGCAAACG
This 207-nucleotide ribosomal RNA is filed under the name uncultured bacterium. RNAcentral describes it as "partial 16S ribosomal RNA". It matches the Rfam family "Bacterial small subunit ribosomal RNA", at positions 568 to 774 of the family's 1533-position model. The record is from RNAcentral.